UGCAAGUUAAUUUAUUCAUGUCUUAACCAAUGUUUUGGUUGCUUUCUGUUUUUGUUGUUAUUUAUAACUUCAGGUUUAAUUUUGAUGAAUGUGAGCAUGUAAUAGUGCAGUUUUGUCUAACAGUCAGCUUGAAUUAACUACAUGUACUCCCAAUUAAGAAGUGGCUAUGUAAAGGACACUGAUAUAAAGACAUUGCUGGAUGUAUUACCUGGUGGCAACUUCAGACCAACAGAAGUGUUUGGGGUAGCAGUAUUUACCACUAUUGAUCUGGAAACCACUGACCUAAGAAAAUGUUGGAUGCUUUAGAAUGAUCCCAUUACUGUACAGCUUUGUUGAUGAGAUGUAUAAGAAAGGAUACCACUGUCAGUAUGGAGGGAAAUGGACUUGAUGCUUAGAAGGAGGCGGAGAUGUCAGAUUCCUCUUCACCUCCAAGUUACCAUGACAACGAACAGCAACAUGAAAGGGGUGACAGUAUGGAUGAAAGUGAAUGAAAAAAUUUGCAAA
This is a long non-coding RNA of Mercenaria mercenaria, 504 nucleotides long. RefSeq lists it as uncharacterized. The record is from RefSeq and is a predicted model, not a curated record. The transcript has 3 exons. Lineage: Eukaryota; Metazoa; Mollusca; Bivalvia; Venerida; Veneridae.